GGAGUUUGUAACCCGCCACCUCAUGGAAUGAUCUCAGAAUGAACAGUGCCCUUCUAAACUGAAUGAAACAAAACGCAGGCGAUGAUGGAAGUCCAGCGGUGUUCAGGAGUUUCUGUAUCUGAUUUCAGUUCUAUGAGAUUCAUGUCCAAACACUGCUGCCUGCCUUCAUGCGAACAAGAUGGCCGCCAUCUCAUGGUUGUUCAUAGGAAUCGCGGCCACCCAGACGAACAAUUAGAACACUGCAGUGAGAAACGUUCCAAGUUGUUAACAAGCUACCG
This is a non-coding RNA of Pelobates cultripes (western spadefoot toad), 278 nucleotides long. Lineage: Eukaryota; Metazoa; Chordata; Amphibia; Anura; Pelobatidae. The record is from the annotation of a GenBank genome assembly.